GGACUAGAGAUAGUCCUUUCUCUUCGGAGACCUCGGUGACAGGUGGUGCAUGGUUGUCGUCAGCUCGUGUCGUGAGAUGUUGGGUUAAGUCCCGCAACGAGCGCAGCCCUUAUUGUUAGUUGCUACGCAAGAGCACUCUAGCGAGACUGCCGUUGACAAAACGGAGGAAGGUGGGGACGACGUCAAAUCAUCAUGCCCCUUAUGUCCUGGGCCACACACGUACUACAAUGGUGGUAAACAGAGGGAAGCAAGACCGCGAGGUGGAGCAAAUCCCUAAAAGCCAUCCCAGUUCGGAUCGCAGGCUGCAACCCGCCUGCGUGAAGUUGGAAUCGCUAGUAAUCGCGGAUCAGCAUGCCGCGGUGAAUACGUUCCCGGGCCUUGUACACACCGCCCGUCACACCAUGAGAGUCGGGAACACCCGAAGUCCGUAGCCUAACCGCAAGGGGGGCGCGGCCGAAGGUGGGUUCGAUAAUUGGGGUGAAGUCGUAACAAGGUAGCCGUAUCGGAAG
RNAcentral lists this ribosomal RNA (509 nucleotides) under uncultured bacterium. Its description in RNAcentral is "bacterial SSU rRNA". It matches the Rfam family "Bacterial small subunit ribosomal RNA", at positions 997 to 1511 of the family's 1533-position model. The record is from RNAcentral.